RNAcentral lists this small RNA (409 nucleotides) under Pan troglodytes (chimpanzee). RNAcentral's name for it is "retained intron". Lineage: Eukaryota; Metazoa; Chordata; Mammalia; Primates; Hominidae. The record is from RNAcentral.
UGGUCACUGUUGAAAGCCUUCAUUCAGUCCCCCUUUCUCUAGCCAGGGCUGCCUGGACCCCUGGAUGCCCUGAUUACCAUCCUUAAUUCUCCUUACUAGGUGCAUAUAAUUGGCCACAUUCCCCCAGGGCACUGUCUGAAGAGCUGGAGCUGGAAUUAUUACCGAAUUGUAGCCAGGUAUGAGAACACCCUGGCUGCUCAGUUCUUUGGCCACACUCAUGUGGAUGAAUUUGAGGUCUUCUAUGAUGAAGAGACUCUGAGCCGGCCGCUGGCUGUAGCCUUCCUGGCACCCAGUGCAACUACCUACAUCGGCCUUAAUCCUGGUGAGUGAGGCAGAAGGGAGCCUCCCUUAUCCUGGAGUUGGUGGGAUAGAGGAAGGAGGUUGGAGCCAGAGCCUGCAAAGCAUGGGC